AGGGGUAUAGCUCAGUGGUAGAGCAUGUGCUUAGCAUGCACCAGGUCCUGGGUUCAAUCCCCUACCACCA
RNAcentral lists this transfer RNA (70 nucleotides) under Camelus bactrianus (Bactrian camel). It matches the Rfam family "tRNA". From Rfam's summary of the family: Transfer RNA (tRNA) molecules are approximately 80 nucleotides in length. Their secondary structure includes four short double-helical elements and three loops (D, anti-codon, and T loops). RNAcentral also lists the same sequence under 2 other names. The record is from Rfam by way of RNAcentral. Lineage: Eukaryota; Metazoa; Chordata; Mammalia; Artiodactyla; Camelidae.